ACCCCCUGCUCCUAAAUCUUGUGCAGAGUAAACCUAGGGGGAGAGAAAGAACAAAGAGGCAAAGAAGAAAGAUGACCCAGAAAGCAAAUCCAUUCAAAGAUCAACAGAAGAAGAAAUCUGUUCCUCCCAACCGCCAUGGCAAACCUUCUGUCACCCGCAAAGAGAUUUGUGAAGCCAGACAAAGUUACCAAGGAGAUGGAUGUUGAUCGUGUUUUCACCUUAUUCAUUGGUGUCAACUGGUAGCAACCUUUUGGUUUCAACUUUAUUCAUUCAGGCUUUGUUUGGGUGACAAUACAUAAUGAACAGCAUUACGUUCAUCCAUUUUGUAAAAACAUAGUUGCUUCAAUGGGUAUUGAUGUCAUGUUCUGUGAUUGGCUACUUUUCUCUAGUGUAGUGAGAAGCCUUGUUAUCAUUGGUGUAACCCUAUGUUAAAGAACACUGGGUGGGUAAUAAAUAAAUGUGCAAAAAAAAAAAUAUAUAUAUAUAUAUAUAUAUAUGAUUACUAAAGGAAGCCAAAUUUGUAUCUGCCUGCAUUGGAGAGACUAGAAUAUGUUGUUUUUCUUUCUUUAUUUGUUCACAUCAGUGAUAAUAUUUUCCUCAGUAACUUGAUUACACCACGAGCUGAGCAAGUUCAUUAAUUAUUGCAAUGAGGUGAAAGCAGCCACUGCUGCUAACAGGGAAGGUGGCCAACUAAGUAUUGUCAAACCACCACCAGAGUCGACCAGUGGUGAGAAGAAAUAGAUGAUGAUGAGAGCACAGAAAGUAUGAAUGUAAAAUCUAAGGAGUAAUAGAUUUUGGAAAUAGUCAUUUUUCGUGUCGCUGUUGAUGUUUUGUAUGUUACAAGAGGAAAUGAGGUUAACUGCUUAUGUUGCAAAUUCAUUUUAUCUUUUUGUUGUUCCUUUGUUUCAUUUUGCAGGUUGAUAAUAUGUUCUUAGCUUGUUUAAUUUCAUCGACUACUUCAUAGGUUUUACAGUUUUUGGUGCCAAUUAAUAUUUAACGUGAUUGAAUUUAUGAGGAAA
Quercus robur (English oak) is the source of this 1019-nucleotide long non-coding RNA. RefSeq lists it as uncharacterized. The record is from RefSeq and is a predicted model, not a curated record. The transcript is spliced from 3 exons. NCBI's taxonomy places the organism in Eukaryota, Viridiplantae, Streptophyta, Magnoliopsida, Fagales, Fagaceae.